Helianthus annuus (common sunflower) is the source of this 107-nucleotide non-coding RNA. Lineage: Eukaryota; Viridiplantae; Streptophyta; Magnoliopsida; Asterales; Asteraceae. The record is from Rfam.
AAUCCAUGAUGAGGACACUUGAGUAGUAACUCCUUGAAACGCUCCCAUGUCUCGUAGAACGAAUCUCCCUCCUUUUGGCGAAACUCUUGGAUCAUGCUCCUCAGACG